This 468-nucleotide ribosomal RNA is filed under the name uncultured bacterium. RNAcentral's name for it is "partial 16S ribosomal RNA". It matches the Rfam family "Bacterial small subunit ribosomal RNA", at positions 28 to 507 of the family's 1533-position model. The record is from RNAcentral.
GACGAACGCUGGCGGCGUGCUUACCACAUGAAAAUCGAACGGAAAGGCCCUGCUUUUGUGGGGUGCUCGAGUGGCGAACGGGUGAGUAACACGUGAGUAACCUGCCCUUGACUUUGGGAUAACUUCAGGAAACUGGGGCAAAUACCGGAUAGGAGCUCCUGCUGCAUGGUGGGGGUUGGAAAGUUUCGGCGGUUGGGGAUGGACUCGCGGGUUAUCAGCUUGUUGGUGGGGUGGUGGCUUACCAAGGCUUUGCCGGGUCGCCGGCCUGAGAGGGUGACCGGCCACAUUGGGACGGAGAUACGGCCCAGACUCCUUCGGGAGGAAGCAGUGGGGAAUAGUGCACAAAGGGCGGAAGCCUGAUGCAGCAACGCCGCGUGCGGGAUGACGGCCUUCGGGUUGUAAACCGCUUUCGCCUGUGACGAAGCGUGAGUGACGGUAAUGGGUAAAGAAGCACCGGCUAACUACGUG